Molecule: ribosomal RNA, 118 nt
Organism: Hordeum vulgare subsp. vulgare (domesticated barley)
Lineage: Eukaryota; Viridiplantae; Streptophyta; Magnoliopsida; Poales; Poaceae
Source: RefSeq, a predicted model, not a curated record
GAAUGUGAUCGUACCAACACUAAAGCACCAGAUCCCAUUAGAACUCUGAAGUUAAGCGUGCUUGGGGGAAAGUAGUACUAGGAUGGGUGACCUCCUGGGAAGUCCUCUGUUGCAUUCC